RNAcentral lists this long non-coding RNA (549 nucleotides) under Junco hyemalis (dark-eyed junco). Its description in RNAcentral is "lncRNA (ENSJHYG00000015703.1)". The record is from RNAcentral. Lineage: Eukaryota; Metazoa; Chordata; Aves; Passeriformes; Passerellidae.
GGGGGAACCAGCGGCUCCCUCUCCCCUUCAGCUCCCUGCUCCGGCGUUUCUGAGCCCUGCACCUGAGGGAUUCUGUGUGCAGGAACGCCGGGCACCAGGUGAAACAGCGAGGAGGAAGGCAGAGGGUGGCACAGGGCAGCCGAGCAUCCUCCUGCCCUCCAAGAACGAGCAGAGCACGGAACAGCUCCAGGAUUUCAGCAUCCAGCACCAAGGGCUGGAAGGGAACCCGAGGUCCAGAAGUCUUCCAGAAAACAGUUUUAAAGUUGUUCAAAGGAAGGUGGAAAAGCUGAAAAGUCAAACUCAGGUCUGUGUUUAAUACUAUAAAAUUACAGGGUGGCAUCCUUGAAAUUGAGAAUGCUGAAAUGGCAUUUAAUAGGAAACUGGGGAAACCAGGGAGAAAACUACCUGGGUUUUGUCAGUGCUGGUGUUAAAUACAGGAGCUUUGCAAAUGCUUGUGGACACUGAAAAAAUGCAACAUUAUGUGUUACAUUGAAGGCACUCGUGGGCAAAAUCCCCAGUGCUCUGAGGUAGCCGGGGUUUAGGAGCAGG